GGGCAUAUGGUGUAGUUGGUUUAUCACGCUCGCUUAGCAUGUGUGGAUACUUGCCUAGCUUGCGAGAGGUGUCCGGUUCAAUUCCGGAUAUGUCCA
Non-coding RNA from Phellopilus nigrolimitatus, 96 nucleotides. NCBI's taxonomy places the organism in Eukaryota, Fungi, Basidiomycota, Agaricomycetes, Hymenochaetales, Hymenochaetaceae. The record is from the annotation of a GenBank genome assembly.